Molecule: ribosomal RNA, 70 nt
Filed under: Myelochroa crassata
Lineage: Eukaryota; Fungi; Ascomycota; Lecanoromycetes; Lecanorales; Parmeliaceae
Description: partial 28S ribosomal RNA
Rfam family: Eukaryotic large subunit ribosomal RNA
Source: RNAcentral
AUUGACCUCGGGAUCAGGUAGGGAUACCCGCUGAACUUAAGCAUAUCAAUAAGCGGAGGAAAAGAAACCA